This 448-nucleotide ribosomal RNA is filed under the name uncultured bacterium. RNAcentral describes it as "bacterial SSU rRNA". It matches the Rfam family "Bacterial small subunit ribosomal RNA", at positions 329 to 793 of the family's 1533-position model. The record is from RNAcentral.
UGCCAGACUCCUACGGGAGGCAGCAGUGGGGAAUAUUGCACAAUGGGGGAAACCCUGAUGCAGCGACGCCGCGUGAGUGAAGAAGUAUUUCGGUAUGUAAAGCUCUCUCAGCAGGGAAGAAAAUGACGGUACCUGAUUAAGAAGCCCCGGCUAACUACGUGCCAGCAGCCGCGGUAAUACGUAGGGGGCAAGCGUUAUCCGGAAUCACUGGGUGUAAAGGGAGCGUAGACGGCUGUGCAAGCCUGAAGUGAAAGGCGGGGGCCCAACCCCUGGACUGCUUUGGGAACUGUACGGCUGGAGUGCAGGAGAGGUAAGUGGAAUUCCUAGUGUAGCGGUGAAAUGCGUAGAUAUUAGGAGGAACACCAGUGGCGAAGGCGGCUUACUGGACUGUAACUGACGUUGAGGCUCGAAAGCGUGGGGAGCAAACAGGAUUAGAUACCCGUGUAUG